UACGGAAGGCAGCAGUGGGGAAUAUUGCACAAUGGGCAAAGCCUGAUGCAGCUAUGCCGCGUGUAUGAAGAAGGCCUUAGGGUUGUAAAGUACUUUCAUCGGGGAGGAAAAACAAAACUAAUAAUUUUAUUUCUUGACGUUACCCGAAAAAGAAGCACCGGCUAACUCCGUGCCAGCAGCCGCGGUAAUACGGAGGGUGCUAGCGUUAAUCAGAAUUACUGGGCGUAAAGAGCACGUAGGUGGUUUUUUUAAGUCAGAUGUGAAAUCCCUGGGCUUAACCUAGGAACUGCAUUUUGAAACUGAAAUACUAGAGUAUCGUAGAGGGAGGUAGAAUUCUAGGUGUAGCGGUGAAAUGCGUAGAUAUCUGGAGGAAUACCUGUGGCGAAAGCGGCCUCCUAAACGAAUACUGACACUGAGGUGCGAAAAGCGUGGGGAGCAAAACAGGGAUUAGAUACC
This 456-nucleotide ribosomal RNA is filed under the name uncultured bacterium. Its description in RNAcentral is "bacterial SSU rRNA". It matches the Rfam family "Bacterial small subunit ribosomal RNA", at positions 340 to 786 of the family's 1533-position model. The record is from RNAcentral.